ACUCCUACGGGAGGCAGCAGUGGGGAAUAUUGCACAAUGGGGGAAACCCUGAUGCAGCCAUGCCGCGUGUGUGAAGAAGCGCUCUCGGGUUGUAAAAGCACUUUCAGUAGGGAGGAAGGUAGUGUAGUUAACACCUGCAUUAUUUGACGUUACCUACAGAAGAAGCACCGGCUAACUCCGUGCAGCAGCGCGUAAUANCGGAGGGUGCGAGCGUUAAUCGGAAUUACUGGGCGUAAAGCGCAUGCAGGCGGCCUGUUAAGUCAGAUGUGAAGCCCGGGGCUUAACCUCGGAAUUGCAUUUGAAACUGGCAGGGCUAGAGUCUUGUAGAGGGGGGGUAGAAUUUUCAGUGUAGCGGUGAAAUGCGUAGAGAUCUGAAAGGGAAUACCAGUGGCGAAAGGGCGGCCCCCCUGGGACAAAAGACUGACGCCUCAGAUGCGAAAAGCGUGGGGGAGCAAACAGGAUUAGAUACCCUGGU
This 475-nucleotide ribosomal RNA is filed under the name uncultured bacterium. RNAcentral describes it as "bacterial SSU rRNA". It matches the Rfam family "Bacterial small subunit ribosomal RNA", at positions 335 to 791 of the family's 1533-position model. The record is from RNAcentral.